CUGGCUGUUUUUCCAUAGAUAGAUAAUAGGUUGGCAGAGAGACAUGAAUUUCAGAAUCUGGAUCGAUUUUAUCACUCAACAAAACUGAACAAAUAUGGGAAAUCGGUCGUCCGACCUGGGUAGAGGGGCGAAAGACCAAUGGAACCGUCUAGCAGCUGGUUCCCUCCGCAGUUUCCCUGGGGAUAGCUGGCGCUCUGGCAGACACACAAAAGACGCAGUUUGAUCCAUCCGGUAAAGCGAAUCAUUAGAGGUCUUGGGGCAGAAAGGAUCUCAACCUCGUCUCAAGCUUUCUUUCAAUGGGUCAGAAGCCCAGCUCGCUGGCGUGGAGCCGGGCGUGGAAUGCGAGUGCCUAGCGGGCCACUUUUGGUAAGCAGAACUGGCGCUGCGGGGUGAACCGAAUGCCUGCUUAAGGCGCCCGAUGCCGAAGCUCAUCAGACCCCAGAAAAGGUGUUGGUUGAUAGGGACAGCAGGACGGGGGUCAUGGAAGUCGGAAUCCGCUAAGGAGUGUGUGUAACAACUCACCUGCGGAAUCAACUAGCCCUGAAAACGGAUGGCGCCGGUGCCGCGGGCCCAUACCCGGCUGUAGUUCUUCCAAGGAGAACUUGGAAGGCCAAAGUGGAGAAGGGUUCCAUGGGAACAGCAGUUGAACAUGGGUCAGUCGGUCCCGAGAGAUGGGCGAGCGCCGUUCCGAGGGGACCGGCAAUGGCCUCCGUUGCCCUCAGCUGAUCGAAAGGGAGUAGGGUUCAGAUCCCACAAUCCCGAGUGGCGGAGACCGGCGCCGCGAGGUGUCCAGUGCGGUAAGGCGACCGACCCCGGAGAAGCUGGCGGAGGCCCCAGGGAGAGUUCUCUUUUUUGUGUGUAGGGCUGGGCGCCGAGGAAUGGCUUCGCCCUGAGAGAGGGGCCCGUGCCUUGGAAAGCGUAGCGUUUCCGAUAACAUCUGGUGAGCGCCCGCUGGCCUUUGGACAAAAAAAUCCCGGGGAAAGUGUGUAAAUCUCGCGCGGGACCAUACCCAUAUCCU
RNAcentral lists this non-coding RNA (1018 nucleotides) under Myotis brandtii (Brandt's bat). Its description in RNAcentral is "Eukaryotic large subunit ribosomal RNA". It matches the Rfam family "Eukaryotic large subunit ribosomal RNA", at positions 886 to 1856 of the family's 3401-position model. Lineage: Eukaryota; Metazoa; Chordata; Mammalia; Chiroptera; Vespertilionidae. The record is from Rfam by way of RNAcentral.